This is a long non-coding RNA of Myotis davidii, 675 nucleotides long. RefSeq lists it as uncharacterized. NCBI's taxonomy places the organism in Eukaryota, Metazoa, Chordata, Mammalia, Chiroptera, Vespertilionidae. The record is from RefSeq and is a predicted model, not a curated record. The transcript has 2 exons.
CUCAGUGGCAGUGAACAUGCGCUCAGGCUCCACCACGAACAUGUAGUAGAGGUUCCACACCAGCAUGGACAGCAGGGGCAGGAAUGUCAGGCCGUAGCCAAAGCCACGGAAGGAGCGGCCGAUGGCAAAGGUCAGCCAGUAUAUCAGCCUGCCGGGCGAGAAGAGAGGACAGACAGUGAGGGAGGGGGAUGGUUGGUGGGUGUGACUGAUGCUUCUAAAGACAGUAAAUGUUUAUGUACAAUGUGCCAGGCGCAAUGCUAGUUACUCAAGGGGCACUAUUCCCGAUAAAAUUCCCGAUAGCUCUAUGAGGUGAGUUUAUUAUUUCCCUCCCUCUUUUGUUUUUCAAAUUUUAAUUAAAAUUUUUUGAGUAGGCAGUAUACAGUCACAUGGUUCAAAAUGCAAAGGUACUAAUGCAUGUAUUAAAUACCUUCCUCUACUGAUCCCUGCCACCCUUUGUUCUCUUUCCUCCCCUCCCUUAUUCCACCCCUACCCCAGGCAUCCAAUAUUAUGGUUUCUUGUGUAAAAAGUGAUUUUUUUUUUAAUGCAUGUAUGAACAAAAAGAUCUGUUUUCCUCCCCACCCCCUUUUGCAGUUUGGGAGCAUGCUAUUUAGACUGUUCUGCACAUUGACUUUCCCCCGAUUUACAUAUCUUGGCAAUUAGUUUUAUCAGUAUAUA